CCGGCCGCAAGGUUAAAACUCAAAUGAAUUGACGGGGGCCCGCACAAGCGGUGGAGCAUGUGGUUUAAUUCGAUGCAACGCGAAGAACCUUACCUACUCUUGACAUCCAGAGAACUUUCCAGAGAUGGUUUGGUGCCUUCGGGAACUAUGAGACAGGUGCUGCAUGGCUGUCGUCAGCUCGUGUUGUGAAAUGUUGGGUUAAGUCCCGCAACGAGCGCAACCCUUAUCCUUUGUUGCCAGCGGUUCGGCCGGGAACUCAAAGGAGACUGCCAGUGAUAAACUGGAGGAAGGUGGGGAUGACGUCAAGUCAUCAUGGCCCUUACGAGUAGGGCUACACACGUGCUACAAUGGCGCAUACAAAGAGAAGCGACCUCGCGAGAGCAAGCGGACCUCAUAAAGUGCGUCGUAGUCCGGAUUGGAGUCUGCAACUCGACUCCAUGAAGUCGGAAUCGCUAGUAAUCGUGGAUCAGAAUGCCACGGUGAAUACGUUCCCGGGCCUUGUACACACCGCCCGUCACACCAUGGGAGUGGGUUGCAAAAGAAGUAGGUAGCUUAACCUUCGGGAGGGCG
RNAcentral lists this ribosomal RNA (570 nucleotides) under Enterobacter cloacae. RNAcentral describes it as "bacterial SSU rRNA". It matches the Rfam family "Bacterial small subunit ribosomal RNA", at positions 882 to 1452 of the family's 1533-position model. The record is from RNAcentral. Lineage: Bacteria; Pseudomonadati; Pseudomonadota; Gammaproteobacteria; Enterobacterales; Enterobacteriaceae.